Molecule: long non-coding RNA, 3030 nt
Organism: Myotis myotis
Lineage: Eukaryota; Metazoa; Chordata; Mammalia; Chiroptera; Vespertilionidae
Exons: 5
Source: RefSeq, a predicted model, not a curated record
GCAACCAAGGCACAUGCCCUUGACCAGAAUCGAACCUGGGACCCUUCAGUCCGCAGGCCGACGCUCUAUCCACUGAGCCAAACUGAUUAGGGCUGCUGUGGUUUUUUGAUUUCAUAUAUUGUUUGAGGUGUAUUCCUUAAAAUAAUCAUAUCUGGGAAAAUGUUCUAACCAAAGGGAGAAAGGAAACAAUGUAUGUUUUUGUGCCUACUAGUUAAAUACUUUAUAUUUCGUUUGGACUUCCCCAAACCCUAAGAACUGUCUUCAUUUAUUGAAGAACAGGCCUAGAGAGGAUGAUUUACCCAAUCUUACAUUAUCUGGUAAGUGUUUGAGUUUUAAGUCCUAAAAUGAUUGGCAGUAAUAGCAUUCCACUACAGUUGAUCCGUUCUUAUUUGGGCACUAGGCGGGGGCUUCUUUUCUCUAACAGACAAAAAACAAUAGGCAUGCAAAAAAUUCUCACACGCAAACUACAAUGAUAACGGGACAUCCCUGCUUUAUUACAAUAUCUUGGUAUAACUCACAUUUUUGGGGGAUGAAAAAGUUGAAUAAUUCUAUAUGUUCUUAGGAGAAAAAAGCAUUACCAGGUGUCAAAUGGCCAAGAAAGUCCCUGGACUGCUGAAGCAGGAUUGCCCAGUGGUCUCUUAACACAUUCCAUCACUCAGUUCUUCCCAUUGUUUGUGAAUAGAUGGGUACAAUACUCUUUUUCAGUAUAACACACCUUUGAAUUUGGUCAUCACCCAAAGGAAAGAGAGGCUGGUGUCUGACAGUUCAGUGGCAAUAUUGGGCCAAUAAGUAAUGACCUACUUUUGCCCCAGGAGCAUGGAAACCACCAGUCACAAGUCUGUAAGGUCAAGAUGACUGACAGUCUAAGGUAAAUUCCAGUUCAUCACAGCGCAUCAGGUCCUUGAAUAAUAUACCUGGCUCUUUAAAGUGUAAGGUACAGUGUUGAGCAUGGAAUCUGUGGAGACCUUAAUUAUCCUACUAAUGACAUUUGCCUAGUAUUCAGGUGGCCGUGAACAAACUCCAGCAACCUGUGAACUCACUGACGGGAGUUUUGUCCUACUCGAACUCAGACCUGCUUCAGCAUGACUUCCCCGAGAGCAUCUCCACAUUCUCACUCACCACAAUUGCAUUUGGCUCCUCAUCCAUCCCUCCUGCCACACUGAAUCCCAGACCCGAGCCUUCUUUUUUGGUCAAGACUAUAAAGCAGACAUCUUCUUUAUUCUAUUGAGAAGAAACAGAAGGAAAAAGUAUAUUCCCUGUGCCAAGAGUAACAGCAUACUGAAAGCUGAUCGAUCGUCAGGCCGGAUUUUGCUUCUGAGAAGCUCAGUACAGCAUCAGGAAAGCUAGAAUCACCAUCAGGGGCUCCCCAAGGUUUAGCUCUCCAGAAACCAGAAGACCAGGGCUUGUUUUUUGACUCUAGUCUCUCACAGCGCCCUCAGAAGCCAAAGAAACUGUUCUGAACAGUUCCAUUUUCAGCACCUACACACCAUACUCAUUGAGAAAAAGCAAGGCAGGAAACUUCUGGUCUAAAGAUGGCAGAGUGAGGACAUCUGUACUCGCCCAGAACCAACUGAAGACAGCUGCAUGUUGACGAAAACAAGCAUGGUCUUCAACACCACACACAACGCCUGCCUGGUGGUGAAUAGGAACUGAGGUGAGGGAGGCCCCAGAUGACUCCAGGUGGCGCUUGGCACCUGUGCACACACACAGUCUACUCUGGGGGCCCUCCCUUUUGUGAGGUUGGUUGAGACCAUUUUAUCUAACAUGAGUACAGGUGGCCCCUGGCACAGCGUGAUCAGACCUUGACUGGAAAUCGCCAAGUGAGUCCACGUGCAAAAUGCUUACUGCAACAAGUGGAAGGAGGAAGGAGACAAUAGAUUAGUCCCUUUUACUAAAAGUGAAAAAUGCUAGAUGCCUCACGGUAUUUCCUGGCUGCACAGACCCAGACCAGUGGACGGAGAACCAGGAGAGGCCGCUAAUGGCCACUGGUCUCAUCCCACCCACCUCCUCUCCCUCUGGCUCACUCCUCAUUGGAGGCCAGCGUCACAGCCCUUCUAGUGUUAGAAUUCUGGAUGAUACCAGUGACCCAGGUACUCAAGGAAAAUUGUUUAUACUUGCUUUUUUCUCUAAGUAGAAAAUUUUCAUUUCUUAGGGUUCGAAUCUCUGUGGAUAGUCCCGAGGAGUAUUCUAGAUAGGAACCUCUGGUUUCAAUUGUUACUGUUACCGUCACAUCCAAUUUUUUAUGACUAUUUAGCUUCUUUGUCUGGAACCCCAGGCUUCAGAAACUCUUACACUUGGAGCCAGGGCAAGGCCACACAGGCAUUAACUCAUCUGCCCAGCAGGUGGCGCCCUUGACAGGUAGUUUAUGUCCACCUAGGUGGACAAAGGUGCUUGUGCUCAUUCUCCACCACAAGUACCUUUGAGGACUCUCUGCAGACAAACUCCAAAUGCAGGGUGGGGUGGGGAGAUCAGUAACUAGUCCCCACUGGGGAAUUAAAUGAGCAACUGCACCAAUCUGGCACUUAAAAACGCAAGGCAAGGUUUAGCUUCUAAGGCAGUCUGCAAGCAAGUGAGAUUGGGCUGUGAGCUCACAACAGGAGACCUGGAGGAGGGCUCACAGACCUCUGAGUGCGUGGCCGUACCUGGGUACUGACGUGGCAGCAGUUCUGUGUCCCUGUGUUCCCUGCAUUUCACUCACCUCUGAUUGUGCUUUCGCUUCCUGCAUGAGAGUCAGGAUGGUAGAUUUCGACCUCGCCAAUGACAAGACAGACUGUAAUCUUUGCUGGUCCCCCGCUGAGACUAGAAGUUGAUCCAAACUAAAUAAUACACAUACAUUAGGAGAACAUUAAAGAAAAAACAAUUUCUCUAUUUUGUAACGACGCAUUUAAAACGAUCUCCUUGAGAUUGUAUUGUAGAUAUUUUCAGUGGAAAUAACUAUGGAUUCAGGGAUUCCCCAAGGUGUUAGGGGACCAAUGUGGUAAACAAAAGUUGUUAUAUUAAAAAAUAUACAAUGUAUAGGCUCAAAUGAAA